AAGGAGUUUUUAUUAUCACACUGACUGCUUCCACAGUUGUGGGUGGUUGGUGUGGCUGUGAUUUUUGUUCAUGCACCUUAUGUGGUGUGUGGGUUGCAGCUGAUUAUUUUUUGUUUUUUUGGGUGUGCAUCCUUCUUUACACUUAGUUGGGUUUGUAUCAAAGGUUUGUUUGUGUGUUGGCGCGUUGUUGGGUGUCUCGGGCAGCACUGUGUGUUGUUCGUUGACCAUCAUUGACUGUGAGUGAGCAUGUUGUUGUUUGCUUGUGGUUGUGGUUGGUGUGGUGUGUGAGAACUGUAUAGUGGACGCGAGCAUCUGUACGCAUGAUGCGCAAUGUUUGUGUGUUGUGUGUGCUGUGAUUUUUUCUUUAUGUGUUUAUUUUGUUGUGUGUU
This 389-nucleotide unclassified non-coding RNA is filed under the name Corynebacterium propinquum. RNAcentral's name for it is "16S-23S ribosomal RNA intergenic spacer region". Lineage: Bacteria; Bacillati; Actinomycetota; Actinomycetes; Mycobacteriales; Corynebacteriaceae. The record is from RNAcentral.